UCACAUCACGUUGAAACACCAGUUUCUAUACGAUCAGUGAAGUUAAGCAAGGUUGAACCUGGUCAGUACCUAGAUGGGUGACCGCUUGGGAAUG
RNAcentral lists this ribosomal RNA (94 nucleotides) under Acanthosepion pharaonis. The record is from RNAcentral. Lineage: Eukaryota; Metazoa; Mollusca; Cephalopoda; Sepiida; Sepiidae.